GUAGGGAAUAUUGGGCAAUGGAGGCAACUCUGACCCAGCCAUGCCGCGUGCAGGAUGACGGCCCUCUGGGUUGUAAACUGCUUUUAUACGGGAAGAAAAAAUACUACGUGUAGUAUACUGACGGUACCGUAAGAAUAAGGAUCGGCUAAAUCCGUGCCAGCAGCCGCGGUAAUACGGAGGAUCCAAGCGUUGUCCGGAUUUAUUGGGUUUAAAGGGUGCGUAGGCGGAUCUUUAAGUCAGUGGUGAAAGCCUGCAGCUUAACUGUAGAAUUGCCAUUGAAACUGAAGAUCUUGAAUGUGGUUAAAGUAGGCGGAAUGUAUCAUGUAGCGGUGAAAUGCUUAGAUAUGAUACAGAACACCGAUAGCGAAGGCAGCUUGCUGAACCAUUAUUGACGCUGAGGCACGAAAGCGUGGGGAGCGAACAGGAUUAGAUACCCCUGUAGUCC
RNAcentral lists this ribosomal RNA (445 nucleotides) under uncultured bacterium. Its description in RNAcentral is "bacterial SSU rRNA". It matches the Rfam family "Bacterial small subunit ribosomal RNA", at positions 354 to 796 of the family's 1533-position model. The record is from RNAcentral.